RNAcentral lists this unclassified non-coding RNA (1092 nucleotides) under Camponotus floridanus (Florida carpenter ant). RNAcentral's name for it is "uncharacterized LOC105249638, transcript variant X1". The record is from RNAcentral. Lineage: Eukaryota; Metazoa; Arthropoda; Insecta; Hymenoptera; Formicidae.
CCUGCAAGACGGAGCGAGCGUUGCGAUGGACAAAAAGACCGACUCUCGCGCGGAUCCAGAGACUGGCCGUUCGCUCGAUUUUCCUCGCUCAGUUGUACUCGGCGAACGUAACGCGACAGAUCGCUCGUUGCGUCCCGGAUGUCUCGUACGCAAAUAUCGCGUCGACGUCUUUUCCCAGGGUGACAACACCGAUCGCUAUCGAGUUGCCGCACCAACGGCAAAAGUGAUUAUCAAGCGCAACAUGAGAGCCCGAAUAGUCUUGCUAGGAGUUUUACUCAUCUGCACCAGCAUUCGAUAUGCAGAGGGUAGAUCGAAAAAGACGAAGCAGCUGUCGCUACAGAGCAAAGAGACCAACGUGGUGAACUUUAUGCGAUUGCUGGUGAUGAGACUGGUCUUCGGGGUAGCUUCGGCGAUGGGGUUGGGUGAAAAUCUCUCGGGUGUUCUCGGCGGAAUUUUCGUACCACCUGGAGCCGAUGACUACAAUGACUACAAUGAUUAUGGCGAUGAUGUCGGUUUCGUACCUGAUUUUUUUUAAAGAAGAUACCUUCUAGUUUAACCGCACGUGCGCUUCGACUACGUUAUUUGUACGAGAAUGUCGCGUCUCGAAAAGUUUAUUCAAAGUGACAAGAGUCUAAAUAAUCACUCGUAUGGCGCAAUAACCGGAUUAUGAUUCAGCCGCGAGUCCGUUCAUCUCGCACGCAAGAGGCUUUUUAAGUCUUUCGUACCGUUACCUGUAAUUUCGGUAAAGCUAAUGGACGCGCAUCAGUUACUGCAGUUGAAGAUAUGGAUAGCAAAAUAGCUGUUUCCGCUUUCCGUUUUAUCUCAUACCCAUCAAUUCCGUUGGUUUCGGUCCAAUGAAAUGAGCAUCUGCUGCAAUAUACCCGAUAAAAAUCCGUAUAGAAAUAAAUUUGAUGUUUAUCUUCUGAAAAUGUUGCAAGAUCCAGUUUCGACUAUCUUGAUAAAGAUGCAAUGUUUUUAUUAGUUUAUUUCGCAUCUCGUUGAAAUAAUUGGAAUGUACUUAAAAGUGUCAAAUACUUUCGAAAUAAUCUGCAAACAUGUAAUAUAAAAUAGAACUUAUACAAUUAUUACAAA